CAGAACGAACGCUGGCGGCAUGCCUAACACAUGCAAGUCGAACGAGACCUUCGGGUCUAGUGGCGCACGGGUGCGUAACGCGUGGGAAUCUGCCCUGGGGUGCGGAAUAACUCGGAGAAAUCCGUGCUAAUACCGCAUAAUGUCUUCGGACCAAAGAUUUAUCGCCCUGGGAUGAGCCCGCGUAGGAUUAGCUAGUUGGUGGGGUAAAGGCCUACCAAGGCGACGAUCCUUAGCUGGUCUGAGAGGAUGAUCAGCCACACUGGGACUGAGACACGGCCCAGACUCCUACGGGAGGCAGCAGUGGGAAUAUUGGACAAUGGGCGAAAGCCUGAUCCAGCAAUGCCGCGUGAGUGAUGAAGGCCCUAGGGUUGUAAAGCUCUUUUACCCGGGAUGAUAAUGACAGUACCGGGAGAAUAAGCUCCGGCUAACUCCGUG
This 435-nucleotide ribosomal RNA is filed under the name uncultured bacterium. Its description in RNAcentral is "bacterial SSU rRNA". It matches the Rfam family "Bacterial small subunit ribosomal RNA", at positions 25 to 507 of the family's 1533-position model. The record is from RNAcentral.